Molecule: long non-coding RNA, 2373 nt
Organism: Callithrix jacchus (white-tufted-ear marmoset)
Lineage: Eukaryota; Metazoa; Chordata; Mammalia; Primates; Cebidae
Source: Ensembl
CGGGGGCGGGGGGCGGGGGGCGGGCGCCGGGGGGCGGGGGCGGCGGGCCAGGCCCUCCCCGCGCUUCUCCGCCCCUUCCCGCCCCGCCCACAGCCCUCCUCCUGGCAGCCCAGCAACAAGCGGCCACCGCCCCCACCCCGGGGCGGGCAGACAGGCACAGCCACCCCGUGGUGCUCCCGGAAGACACCGCGUCUCCAACGUUUACGCAGAGAUGCUGCUCGGCUCAGGUCGGGUCCGUACGCUUCCCGAGGUGCGUACUACGCGAGCCACACAUAUCACUCCCGAUAUUCCUGGGAAAGUCGGUGCCACAGUCAGUCAGCUGCAAGCGUGGGGUUGCCGGUGACGCGCUCUGCCCGUGAAGACGCCCAUUGUGCGGGACAGGCGCGGCCAGGGCGCAGCGUCCAGGAGGUGGGUAGGCAGCCGAACUUGCACUGGCCACGAGCGCUUCACCUUCUAGAAUCUGCCAGGGACCAAGCAUCAACUCCCAGGGAGAAAAUAAAAUGUGAAGUUGGAAGACACACGCUGCCCUUCACUUUUCUGAGGAGUUCACAUCGGUUUCCGCAUUCCGCGUUCUCAGUUCGCUUUGCCCCGGCUAGUGGGCUCCAUCGCCUGGACCGCAAACGCACCAGGGCGUGCCCGCCGGGGGCGAGGCCAAAGAAACCGCACGUUUCGAGUCCCCAGUUGCUGAGAAACAAUCACAGCGCUCCUCUUUUCUUCCCCUGCCGUUGCAGGUUCCGACCUGAAUCCGAAAGUGCUUCUAAAUCCCAUGCUCCACAGGAGGUUCGGAGGGGGAGGCGCUCGGGGGGGACUGCUGCGUGCCCAUGUAGCCGAACCGACUCGAAUAAAAGCGUGUCUACGUCUACAUCACACAUCUGUGCAAAUGCAGAAGCCUGCGGAUGCUCGGGGCUGGCCAGACUUCAAUGUGCAGACACAUGGGCUCAUGCACGCGCGCGCGCUCACACACACUCACACCCCAAAUUACCUCCGGGAUGGAGAAAGCCGCAGCGGAUUGGCCAGCAGAACCGUCACUCACGCCCAGGGGGCAGGGACACUUCGCAAAGCUGUUUCCUUUUUUUUUUUUUUUUUUUUUUUUCUUCUCCUCUCCUCCCUACCGUUUCAUUUAAUGGUAAAACAACAGCAGAGCUCUGAAAGUUAGCCAUCUGCGCGGAGUUUGCCUUCUUUAAGGAAGGAGGCGUCAGACGAUAUCCAUUUAAAUGUAUUUUGUACUUCCACAAAGGAUGGAAAGGGAAAUUAACGAUGGGAGUGGAGGCGGAAAGGGAGCUCCGAAUAAGAAGGAGGGGUCAUCCCGCGGGGGGAGGGGGGGCCGGGGGCGGACGCAAGGGAAAGAGUUCUUCUCUACACAGAAGAGGGACUUUGACCUUCCAUUGAUCUCGAAAUUAAAAAAUGUUUUUCACAGGUCAGAUUGUAACCAAAACUCGUUCAUAAUUUAUGAACUCGUCGUUUUGAUUUUAUUAUUUAAGCAUGCGCCAGCAGUCGUGUUUCCUUAAGAAAGAACUGACCUAUUUUUGGCUGGAGAUAAACGAUCAUGUUAACAGAUGUUAAUCUUGUAAUCUGUUUUUCCUGUAAGCACUUUACCUACCCGGGUUUCAGACAUCUUUUCCAAAAAGACCUGACGUCACAAUUGACUCCCUGAAAAAUCACACUCCCCCUCCAGUUUCUUCCCCUGCAAUGAUUUCAAAGACGUUAAAUCUUUUCCACUUUAUAAAUGCUGAUCUGUUCUGCCUCUACUCCCACAGGCUUUUAUUUGCAUUUUAAAUUCCACAGGUUACACCAGUCGCCUUUUCAAAAAAUAUAAACCAACAAUGAAGCAGCAAAUGGCUUUUUGUGCAUCUGGAUUAAAUAAAACACAGAAUGAAUAUAUUUAAAAAGAAGGCUGCGCAAGUUGAUCUUUGCACACCCGGAGACCCAGUGACUCUUUAUCAGCGGAAUGAGUAAGACACACACACAGCCCCCAGAGCUCCCGGUCUGAUCCUGGGCUGCUGCGGGAGGCUUAUUAACGCUGAUAAUGGAUGGGGCUGACUUACAGACCCACAUUUUUCGGGUAAAAGGCUGGUUCCUAAUUGCGGGGUCCACUGGCUUUCCUCGGCGCACACCAACCUUCCUCCAUCAACUGCUGCUUUUAAAAACCCCACUCGGCUGCCGGGUAACAAACUUAUUCAUACAAACUUUCUUUAAAACUUGACGAGGCGGUUUAAUCUAAAUACUGAUCGUAACUAUCCAGUCUGUUAGUUCUCCCUGGAAAUGGCAGCGGAGGCGCCUCCCCCACCUCCCGCCCAACCACACACACCCCACCGAAUUCUUCCUUCAUACACCCGGGUUCAUCUCCCCACCGAGGCCUCCCCCACCCGCACC